CGAUGCAUCCUCGGGGUCAUAAUUCUUAAUGUAUUCCUCCACUAAUGACACAUUGAUUGAUAAUAAAUGCUCUGAAUGGUGCAAAAAUUGGAACAGCUUUGCAGUCCAAAAAUCCCUUAUUUUUCUCUACGUCCAACAGAUUUCUAACUUCAUCGGCUCCAUAUUAGUAACGAUUAUCACAGCCGGUGGUUUUGCUGUGCGUUUAGCUCUCACAUUCCGGCCACUUUCAUCUCUGUCUACAAUUCUCUUGGUACUUUCAAUCGCCAUGAUUCAAACGCUUAUAGGUCCUAAUUGUCAAUGCGACUCUCCAGUAUGCACGAAACACUAAAAUGAAACACAAAUAAGCAACAACAGAAUAUAACACCACAGAAUAAUCCUUAAUAGGAGCCCCACUCCUAUUCUAUUACCUAGUGAUGAGAACGACAACAUGGUACCCAUACUGUCCAUUUCUCACUUCCUUCGCAUCUGA
This 469-nucleotide long non-coding RNA is filed under the name Physcomitrium patens. Its description in RNAcentral is "long non-coding RNA (PPAT_LNC010493)". The record is from RNAcentral. Lineage: Eukaryota; Viridiplantae; Streptophyta; Bryopsida; Funariales; Funariaceae.